This 468-nucleotide ribosomal RNA is filed under the name uncultured bacterium. Its description in RNAcentral is "partial 16S ribosomal RNA". It matches the Rfam family "Bacterial small subunit ribosomal RNA", at positions 28 to 507 of the family's 1533-position model. The record is from RNAcentral.
GACGAACGCUGGCGGCGUGCUUAACACAUGCAAGUCGAACGGAAAGGCCCUGCUUUUGUGGGGUGCUCGAGUGGCGAACGGGUGAGUAACACGUGAGUAACCUGCCCUUGACUUUGGGAUAACUUCAGGAAACUGGGGCUAAUACCGGAUAGGAGCUCCUGCUGCAUGGGGGGGGGUGGAAAGUUUCGGCGGUUGGGGAUGGACUCGCGGCUUAUCAGCUUGUUGGUGGGGUAGUGGCUUACCAAGGCUUUGCCGGGUAGCCGGCCUGAGAGGGUGACCGGCCACAUUGGGACUGAGAUACGGACCAGACUCCUACGGGAGGCAGCAGUGGGGAAUAUUGCACAAUGGGCGGAAGCCUGAUGCAGCAACGCCGCGUGCGGGAUGACGGCCUUCGGGUUGUAAACCGCUUUCGCCUGUGACGAAGCGUGAGUGACGGUAAUGGGUAAAGAAGCACCGGCUAACUACGUG